This 305-nucleotide ribosomal RNA is filed under the name uncultured bacterium. RNAcentral's name for it is "bacterial SSU rRNA". It matches the Rfam family "Bacterial small subunit ribosomal RNA", at positions 337 to 639 of the family's 1533-position model. The record is from RNAcentral.
CCCUACGGGGGGCAGCAGUGAGGAAUAUUGGUCAAUGGGCGAGAGCCUGAACCAGCCAAGUCGCGUGAGGGAAGACGGUCCUAUGGAUUGUAAACCUCUUUUGCCGGGGAGCAAAAAGCGGUACGUGUACCGCAUCGAGAGUACCCGGAGAAAAAGCAUCGGCUAACUCCGUGCCAGCAGCCGCGGUAAUACGGAGGAUGCGAGCGUUAUCCGGAUUUAUUGGGUUUAAAGGGAGCGUAGACGGUGCGUCAAGUCUGAAGUGAAAGCCCGGGGCUUAACCCCGGGACUGCUUUGGAAACUGGCGG